UGUAGCUCAAGUGGUAGAGCAUAUGCUUAGCAUGCAUGAGGCCCUGGGUUCAAUCCCCAAUA
Molecule: transfer RNA, 62 nt
Filed under: Camelus bactrianus (Bactrian camel)
Lineage: Eukaryota; Metazoa; Chordata; Mammalia; Artiodactyla; Camelidae
Also listed under: 2 other names
Rfam family: tRNA
About the family: Transfer RNA (tRNA) molecules are approximately 80 nucleotides in length.
Source: Rfam by way of RNAcentral